RNAcentral lists this non-coding RNA (28 nucleotides) under Homo sapiens (human). Lineage: Eukaryota; Metazoa; Chordata; Mammalia; Primates; Hominidae. The record is from RNAcentral.
UCCCGAGGGUUGGACGAAGUAGAGUGAA